AAAGGCGCAGCUAAGAAGAAGUGCAGUAAAGAAGAACGAUGGCAGCUUGUUCUGUGGUAAGUGCAUCGACAUCGGUCAAUGGGGCUUAUUGUUCAUCCAGCAGCACCGUCCUCUGCCUGCUUUGUCCAACAACGGUUCUGCGACCGUGGCUGCAAAAUCUCACUCUUCGGUCUUCAGUUGCAGUUUCUUUUAGUACAGUCGCAGCCAAAAUACUAAAUAAAUCCUAUAAAAGCCAUUAAAAGCUUAAAAUUCAUUGAUUCCAUAAAAAUACAUAAGAAAUUUUAAGUAUUGGGUCAUUUUGGUACCAGUGAUCCACUAAUGAAGGUCGAGCUUUUUAUCGAUAGAUGCAAUUUUUGUUGCUGUGCUUUGUGUCUAUAUAAAGCCAGCACAUUUGAAAGUUCAAGACAAAAAUUGCUAAAACAAAGAACCUAAUGCAGAAAUUAGCCUGAAGAUACAGAUUCUCAGCAAGGAUGGGUACAGCUGUUGCCAGAUAGCCAAGAAGUGCAGAUGCAGUUGGAUACACUCUGCAGAAAUACAGACGAACCAACAGCUUGAAAGACAAACCAAGAUCUGGUGUCCAGUGGUUUCUCUGUUAUUUGUUGACUUUGAUACCAACAGUGUUGAGAACUGACAUAUUGAAACUGUCAAGAAUUUAAUUUUGUUAAAGGGGUAGUUCGGGAUUUUUGACGCUUCAUUUUCGUGACCGCAGCAAACUGGCCGGACUAUUUUCAUCUGGACCAAAACCGGACCGGAUUUCUGCUCACCAGACGCUGUCGUAAGUCUGUGUGAAUGCACAACACUGCUGACGGGGAUGCCAUACAGAUUCAUGUCAAAAAUCCCGAACUAUCCCUUUAAUUUUUCUUGUAAACAAUAAACCAAAAAAAAUCAUUUGUAUGCGUUUGUGUCUGUCUAAUGCAGCCACACGUUUUGAAAAAGAUUCUUCCACAAAUAUUUCAUGGUAGUGUUUGAGAUUGUGUAAAAUUUUAAGGGUGUCCGAAAAGUUUUCCAACCACUGUAAAUAAGUACCCUUGGACUUUGGCGUAUGUAUUUAGCAGUUGUAGUACCUCAGUGAUCAAAUAUGUACAAAUACUUCAAUUACAGUCUAAAUGUAAAGAAAUAGUGACUUAUUAUUAAGUAGAGGCUCUGUGUAAUGUGCAAAUGGAUGGAUCUAUGGCUUCACUGCCUCUUCACAUUCAGGGUUGUUGUCUUGUUAGGAAAAUAAAUAGUUUCAUAAAUAUA
Acanthochromis polyacanthus (spiny chromis) is the source of this 1239-nucleotide long non-coding RNA. RefSeq lists it as uncharacterized. The record is from RefSeq and is a predicted model, not a curated record. NCBI's taxonomy places the organism in Eukaryota, Metazoa, Chordata, Actinopteri, Pomacentridae. The transcript is spliced from 2 exons.